This 201-nucleotide long non-coding RNA is filed under the name Populus trichocarpa (black cottonwood). RNAcentral's name for it is "long non-coding RNA (PTRI_LNC001415)". Lineage: Eukaryota; Viridiplantae; Streptophyta; Magnoliopsida; Malpighiales; Salicaceae. The record is from RNAcentral.
GCCUACCUUGUAGCUUACUGGCUUGUGUCUGAUGCACAAUGCAGAAGGGCAAAGGUUCGAAGGCUAGUUCGGUGGUGCUUGGAGGAGGUGGUGGUGUUGCCAUUUGUUGUAGCUGUUGUUGUUGUUGUUGUUAUUAUUAUUAUUAUUACAUAUAAAAAGAGGUAUUCUAAAAUACCUUUUUUUUUAUUUACUUUGGAGUAA